RNAcentral lists this long non-coding RNA (199 nucleotides) under Lathyrus oleraceus (garden pea). RNAcentral describes it as "Pisum sativum (pea) long non-coding RNA (PSAT_LNC032624)". Lineage: Eukaryota; Viridiplantae; Streptophyta; Magnoliopsida; Fabales; Fabaceae. The record is from RNAcentral.
UUUCGUUCAGAUUGUAGAGCCAGUUACUGCGGUUAUGAACACUAGUCCUAGGAUCGGGCAUGGUGAAUAGGCAAAGAACUUGGUUAUCAAUUAUAAGCUCAAACUCAUCAGAUCCUAGGUUUGCUAUAAACAUAGUGUUGAAGAGGAAGGGUAUACUCAUAGUAGUAAUGCCACAAAAAGGGCUUAAGUCAAGCAUAGG